This 376-nucleotide ribosomal RNA is filed under the name uncultured bacterium. RNAcentral's name for it is "bacterial SSU rRNA". It matches the Rfam family "Bacterial small subunit ribosomal RNA", at positions 524 to 898 of the family's 1533-position model. The record is from RNAcentral.
CACGUAGGAGGCGAGCGUUAUUCGGAUUUACUGGGCGUAAAGCGCGUGCAGGCGGUUUAGAAAGUUGGAUGUGAAAGCUCCUGGCUUAACUGGGAGAGGUCGUUCAAUACUUCUAGACUCGAGUAUGGGAGAGGGAGGUGGAAUUCCGGGUGUAGUGGUGAAAUGCGUAGAUAUCCGGAGGAACACCAGUGGCGAAAGCGGCCUCCUGGUCCAUUACUGACGCUCAGACGCGAAAGCUAGGGUAGCAAACGGGAUUAGAGACCCCGGUAGUCCUAGCUGUAAACGAUGUGAACUUGGCGUUGGUGGGUUUAAAUCCAUCAGUGCCGGAGCUAACGCGUUAAGUUCACCGCCUGGGGACUACGGCCGCAAGGUUAAA